GCAGAAGAUAAAUCUUUUCUGAAUAUGAUCAAAUACAAAACUGGAUUAAAAUGAUUACAACUCUGGUUAUACAAAAUAAAACUGGACUCAAAUACAUCAACUCUACUAGCUGUCUAUGAAGCCUCUACUAAUAUUGACUAUAGAUAAACGGGACAUGACCCCCAGCUAUCUCUAAUCAAUACAACUUAAUAUAAAAAAAAUGAUACUGAAACUAUAGUUGGCUCGAGUCCUCGAAUCAAAAGAACUCAUCACCUGUUGAUUGAAAGUUGCGAAUUGUCUGACUAUAAUUUGCUACAAUUGAUAUCUACAUUAUGAGACAAUGUAGUACAGAGACAUAUUUGUAGAUCAGUACUUCUGGAAUGUACUGAGUAUGUGGAGGUGAAUGCAUAAAUAAAAACAAUAAAUUAAUGUACAUAUAAACCUUUAAACAAUGCAUGCUAAGUGUAAAUGACUCACCUUAAGCUUGAAUAACUGAAAGUUGAAAAUCAUAAAUAAUGAAGCAUACUGUAUAAAUCUUGUGAGCCAUCACACUUAGCUCUAAAAGUUGUACUUUUACUCUUUAUUUUGGGAGAUUUUUCUAACCGACAUAAACUAUAUGAGCUAUCAUGGAGUCCAACGUCUCUUACUCACGUUGGGAGAGUUGUUCUACCCUUGCCAUCGGAAUAAAACCUAACUAGAGUGAUCAUUAUGAUGAACCCAUAUUAGGACUUAAUUCUAUGGUGACACGUAGUUCUGAGGCAUCUAACCUUGGUCUCAUACCCAACUCGGUGCUAAAUACUACUUCCAUAUUACUUAUAUGCUCUCUCUUUAGGAAAUUCACCUUAAAAUAGCAUAAGGGUUUAUAGUGAAAAUCAAUUAUUCUUCUCUUUGUUUUAAAUCAUAAGUUGUAUGAAUAAUGUGGAUUCCUUAUCUUAGCUUAGGAUCAAAAGACCAAUUCUUGCUUAAAAUCUUGAUAUAAGUUUGUUUUAUCCUUUUUGGGAUUUCUUUUGGCGCGUUUUAUCCUUUUUGGGAUUUCUUUUGGCGAGAAAAUGAUUCUGACCUCUUAAAACUAUUUCAAAAGAUUCAAGAAAAUCUUGAAAUAAUUUAAGAAAAUUCACAGAGUCGCCACUUGAUUUUUAUAGGAAAAAAAUCAAGAAAACUUAAAAGAGUUUUAAAGGUUCAAAAAUAGAAAUAAACCUUUAGAACUAGGGAUACUGAGUAAGGGUUUAGUUAACGCCCUAAGAAGGUUUUUAAGACACUUAGGAGCAUCCGUUUAAAACGGUUUACCAAAAAAAAAAACUAAUUUGACUAACUAAAAGUGGUUAAUUUAGCAAAGACUUAAUUUUAUAGAAAACAUUAAAGUUAUUUACUUAAACAUGACAUUUAUUUAUUCGAAUGAGAAUUAUUCUAUUUGAAUUGAACUAAGUUGCAUUUUUUUUUGAAUUUCAAGAAGAAAAUGAUUUUUAUUUUUUAUGAAAAAGGAAGGAGAUUGCAUAGUUAUUUUCUUCUUAUUAUAGAAAAGUCAAUUUUAUGGAAAAUGCCUUUAAAAAGAUGCUAAGAGAAUGUUGAAAGUGCUUUGCUAAUUUUUGAAAAGUUGAUUUUCAAAAUAAAUUAGUUUCUUAAAUUUGAAGAUGAAUUUUUUAAGUUUGGAGAAAAUUACUUGAAUCCAAAUAAACUAUUAAUCACAUGAACAAAAUAAAUGUCAUCUUAAAACAAAAUAUGCACUUUGAGAAGGCUUGUUUUGAGGAGAAAAUCGAACGAACCUAUUUAAUUCGUUUUUAGACAAGAUAACUUAGGUGAAAAUUAUGAAUUAAAUAUAAGAAUACUAAGAUAAAAUAAAAUGGCAACACCUUGGGAAAUUUAUCUAGAUUAAUUGAUUUAAAGUAUUAGUUAAUACAAAUAAACAAUACUCUAUAAACUACAAAAAGUGAAUACAAGAAUUGAAAUUGGGCCCUUACUUGACCCAUUUUCAAAUCUGGACACCAUUGGUUUGGGGCCUAUUUAAAUGGUCCUUUUUUCAAAUUUCUUUCAGCUGUGUAUAUCAUCUGUAUAUCACAGCACCUUUUCUUCACGUUUUUCCGUAUAUUUACUAUAUAGUGAUAUGUAAAUGGUUGUAUAUUUGCUUCCAAAUUCACUAUGCAUCAUAUGUUGGCGUAUACAAACCACCUUCCACCUGAAAAACCCAUAUAUAUUGUGUAUAUGAGUGUAUAUCAGCCCUUUUGGACUUGAUUUUGAAGCAUAGACUUGAAAAUCCGGGCCUCCUUGGCCCUUUGAGGAGAUGUGGAGUUUUAGAGUCCCGUGGACUCAUAAGGAGAGUUCAUGCAAAGGAGAUGAUAAUGUAAGUUAGUAAAUUUAUCAAUACAUAAAGAAAGACAAAUUUAUUAAACAUGCAAAACAUUUAAUGGGAAUUCGUGAUAGGAAUAUAAACUCCACAAAUGAAAGAUCGUUUAACAUAUUAAAGAAAAUGAAAUGCAAGGUACGGGGAGUCCAGAUGGACUUGUUUCAGGCAGCUCAUGUGUAAAGAGAAAGCAAAAGAAAGUUAGCAAUAUGUCAAGAUUGUUGAUAAUCAGACAUAAAUUCAACACUGAGACAGUUUUAUCCUUAGCCAAACAUUAUUGAAAUAAUUACAAUCAAUUACCCAAAAAGAGAUUCGAUGAAGUAGCAAAAUUCAAAAGAGAUUAUUUCGUCAAAACGAAACUAACAAAUUUAUUAAUUUUAGUUAAAUUAAUUCCGAAAGGAGAUCCAAAAUGGCUAGUUACUUCAAAUACUUAAACAGUGUUCCAAUGAAAUUCUUCAAACUAAACAGUAGCAAAAAUUCCUUUAUCCAAAUCCUCAUCUCAAAGUAUGACGUACUUUCUACAACUAACUAUUUAAGCAAAAAAAUACAUCACUUUUUUUUAAACAAAUAGGCAUAUACUUUAACUAAGGAUUGACAAAGUAGCAAAGAAGUAAGCAACACACCCAUUUUUUAGAAAUAACGACAAGUAGACAUAUCACAUAUUUUAUAUAAUGACAAGAAGAUCUGGUCCAACUCAAAGUUUAAAUAGUUCAAAGAUAUAUUCGAAUCGACAAACACAUUUAAGUGAAAGUUAACAAUCAAUUUCAAAUUUCACAAAGAAGGGAUUAAAUCAAUAUCUUGAACUUGCACGAACCUGAAUGACUUUUAAAACAUAGCAAUGAACCCUUAGUCCGAACUUAUUCGUACCAUAUUGACAAAAUUUGUUAGCUUUACUUGAGAAAUUAUGCAACACAUAACAAGAGGGUUCAUACAGGACAAACGCAUGCCAAGAAACUUAUUAAUCGCAAAACAGAACAAAAUGUUUGAAGAGGCGAAUCUCUCGUGACUUUUUCAAACUAACGGCUUUAUCUAAACAGCUAAUAGGAACCAAAUAUAUGACAUAGUGAAAACAAAAGACUUGGUUUUGAAACACUAACCCCAACCAUACCUUUUAAUUUCUCAAAAAUCUUCAGGAGGAGCUUCCUGAACUAAAACUAAAGAAAAGUCCCAAAAUUCAAACUUUAUUCUUCGGAAGGACUAAUUCAAAGAGUUUGUUUAACAUAUCCUUAAGGCCUCAACUUUCAACACAUGGAUAUUUUAAUUAGAGGUAAAAAUGGUGAGUCAAACUAAAACAAAACAAUCAUUCAAGCUAAAUAAAACUACAGAUUAACGCUGAAAGAAAACAUCAUAACGCCGAAACAAUGAGUCGUGAAAUCAACUCAAGAAAUCAAACACAAAAUCUAUGGCUUUCGAAAAACAUUCUACAACAUAUAAUCUCACAAUUACGCUACUUGCACGAAGAAAAAAGAAGAGAUAAUGAGGGAAUUUAAAAAAGAAAAAAUGUGUUUACCUUUUUCGGGGCAAGAAACGGGACGACGAACCUUGACGACAAACUUCCACCACCGGCAAAACACAAUUCCAAUCUAUCAAAAUAAUAGUGACUUUGCUGGAUUUUAGUUUUCCGUCGGGAUUUCGGUUGUGUGAAGUUAGAGGCAUGCACCUCCAGAACUCCCAAAUUUUUAUCCAAAAUCCUCCUCCCCUUCAUUCUACAUUCGUGGGUAUUUAUAGGAUAUAUGAGACUGAUUUUUGGGGGAAACGAAGGGGUUAAGAGGAAAAACGAAUUAGGAUUUGAAUUUCAAAAUUUGAGAUAAGGUUUGACUGGAAUUUGUACGAAUUGAAACGUUGUUGCUGAGCUAGUUCUUUCCGUUGUUGUACUGUUGUUGCAUUGAAUUGUGGUUGUUAUUGUUGCGUUGGUUGCUGUUGCAGAUACGGGUUGUUGGGUUCGCUGGGUUAGAGCGGAUUUCGUCGUUUGUUGAAGUGGUUGUUAACGUUGGGAUGUUGAGAUUGCGUUAUACGAGUUGUGUGUCGAUGUUGUUGGCUGUUGUUGUUUGUUUGUACGGUCGGGUUAAGUGUUGUUGUUUGUGUUGAAAUUAAUCAAGGGGAAAAGAGUAGUG
This 4431-nucleotide long non-coding RNA is filed under the name Capsicum annuum. RNAcentral's name for it is "long non-coding RNA (CANN_LNC009579)". The record is from RNAcentral. Lineage: Eukaryota; Viridiplantae; Streptophyta; Magnoliopsida; Solanales; Solanaceae.